AGCUUGCUGGGGUGGAUGAGUGGCGAACGGGUGAGUAACACGUGAGUAACCUUCCCUUGACUCUGGGAUAAGCCCGGGAAACUGGGUCUAAUACCGGAUAUGACCUCCUGUCGCAUGGUGGGGGGUGGAAAGAUUUAUCGGUCUUGGAUGGACUCGCGGCCUAUCAGCUUGUUGGUGAGGUAAUGGCUCACCAAGGCGACGACGGGUAGCCGGCCUGAGAGGGUGACCGGCCACACUGGGACUGAGACACGGCCCAGACUCCUACGGGAGGCAGCAGUGGGGAAUAUUGCACAAUGGGCGCAAGCCUGAUGCAGCGACGCCGCGUGAGGGAUGACGGCCUUCGGGUUGUAAACCUCUUUCAGUAGGGAAGAAGCCUUCGGGUGACGGUACCUGCAGAAGAAGCGCCGGCUAACUACGUGCCAGCAGCCGCGGUAAUACGUAGGGCGCGAGCGUUAUCCGGAAUUAUUGGGCGUAAAGAGCUCGUAGGCGGUUUGUCGCGUCUGCCGUGAAAGUCCGGGGCUUAACCCCGGAUCUGCGGUGGGUACGGGCAGACUAGAGUGCAGUAGGGGAGACCGGAAUUCCUGGUGUAGCGGUGAAAUGCGCAGAUAUCAGGAGGAACACCGAUGGCGAAGGCAGGUCUCUGGGCUGUUACUGACGCUGAGGAGCGAAAGCAUGGGGAGCGAACAGGAUUAGAUACCCUGGUAGUCCAUGCCGUAAACGUUGGGCACUAGGUGUGGGGGACAUUCCACGUUUUCCGCGCCGCAGCUAACGCAUUAAGUGCCCCGCCUGGGGAGUACGGCCGCAAGGCUAAAACUCAAAGGAAUUGACGGGGGCCCGCACAAGCGGCGGAGCAUGCGGAUUAAUUCGAUGCAACGCGAAGAACCUUACCAAGGCUUGACAUGUUCUCGAUCGCCACAGAGAUGUGGUUUCCCCUUUGGGGCGGGUUCACAGGUGGUGCAUGGUUGUCGUCAGCUCGUGUCGUGAGAUGUUGGGUUAAGUCCCGCAACGAGCGCAACCCUCGUUCCAUGUUGCCAGCGGGUUAUGCCGGGGACUCAUGGGAGACUGCCGGGGUCAACUCGGAGGAAGGUGGGGACGACGUCAAAUCAUCAUGCCCCUUAUGUCUUGGGCUUCACGCAUGCUACAAUGGCCGGUACAAUGGGUUGCGAUACUGUGAGGUGGAGCUAAUCCCAAAAAGCCGGUCUCAGUUCGGAUUGGGGUCUGCAACUCGACCCCAUGAAGUCGGAGUCGCUAGUAAUCGCAGAUCAGCAACGCUGCGGUGAAUACGUUCCCGGGCCUUGUACACACCGCCCGUCAAGUCACGAAAGUCGGUAACACCCGAAGCUCGGUGGCCCAACC
This 1356-nucleotide ribosomal RNA is filed under the name Citricoccus sp. B-1001. Its description in RNAcentral is "16S ribosomal RNA". It matches the Rfam family "Bacterial small subunit ribosomal RNA", at positions 77 to 1440 of the family's 1533-position model. The record is from RNAcentral. Lineage: Bacteria; Bacillati; Actinomycetota; Actinomycetes; Micrococcales; Micrococcaceae.